GAAAUGCGAUAAGUAAUGUGAAUUGCAGAAUUCAGUGAAUCAUCGAAUCUUUGAACGCACAUUGCGCCCUCCGGCAUUCCGGGGGGCAUGCCUGUUCGAGCGUCACAAAAGCCCCAUCACACUGGUUGUGGUAAUGGCAGACGUGGACGGCCCCCUCGCCUGGGGCCGCCACGCCGCCGAAAUGAAUGGUGCGGAUGAGUCUCGAUGGCCGGACGUAGUAAAUUUACAACCGUCGGGGAACAUUGGACCCUCCAUCUCGCCCAGACGAUGGUACCCCCCCAUCGCCUCCUCAAUGGUGGACCUCGGAUCAGGUAGGGAUACCCGCUGAACUUAA
This 334-nucleotide unclassified non-coding RNA is filed under the name uncultured fungus. RNAcentral's name for it is "sequence contains ITS1". The stretch from base 1 to 105 matches the Rfam family "5.8S ribosomal RNA", at positions 50 to 154 of the family's 154-position model. Lineage: Eukaryota; Fungi. The record is from RNAcentral.